GUCCAAAUGGUUAAAGUAUUGGAAAACGACAGGGGUGAAUGGAGUUUGCAAUCGCCAGUUCUAGACUCUGGAUAGAACGCAGAGUAAAUGUGUCUGACUGUGAGCACCUCCUAUUGUCCCAUGGGGAGUGGGUGAGAUAUAUGAGUGUCCCUUGCAUAAGGUUUGUGACACAGCAGCUCACGAUUAAAGUAUCUCUGUCAAAUGAGGCGUCAGUCACUAACUACUCAGACCUCAUUGUGGAGCCCUGGUAGCCACCACAUUGUGAAAG
Pelobates cultripes (western spadefoot toad) is the source of this 268-nucleotide non-coding RNA. The record is from the annotation of a GenBank genome assembly. NCBI's taxonomy places the organism in Eukaryota, Metazoa, Chordata, Amphibia, Anura, Pelobatidae.